GACGAACGCUGGCGGCGUGCUUAACACAUGCAAGUCGAACGGAAAGGCCCUGCUUUUGUGGGGUGCUCGAGUGGCGAACGGGUGAGUAACACGUGAGUAACCUGCCCUUGACUUUGGGAUAACUUCAGGAAACUGGGGCUAAUACCGGAUAGGAGCUCCUGCUGCAUGGUGGGGGUUGGAAAGUUUCGGCGGUUGGGGAUGGACUCGCGGCUUAUCAGCUUGUUGGUGGGGUAGUGGCUUACCAAGGCUUUGACGGGUAGCCGGCCUGAGAGGGUGACCGGCCACAUUGGGACUGAGAUACGGCCCAGACUCCUACGGGAGGCAGCAGUGGGGAAUAUUGCACAAUGGGCGGAAGCCUGAUGCAGCAACGCCGCGUGCGGGAUGGCGGCCUUCGGGUUGUAAACCGCUUUCGCCUGUGACGAAGCGUGAGUGACGGUAAUGGGGAAAGAAGCACCGGCUAACUACGU
Molecule: ribosomal RNA, 467 nt
Filed under: uncultured bacterium
Lineage: Bacteria
Description: partial 16S ribosomal RNA
Rfam family: Bacterial small subunit ribosomal RNA
Source: RNAcentral